RNAcentral lists this ribosomal RNA (341 nucleotides) under uncultured Glomus. RNAcentral describes it as "SSU rRNA". It matches the Rfam family "Eukaryotic small subunit ribosomal RNA", at positions 569 to 915 of the family's 1831-position model. The record is from RNAcentral. Lineage: Eukaryota; Fungi; Glomeromycota; Glomeromycetes; Glomerales; Glomeraceae.
AGCAGCCGCGGUAAUUCCAGCUCCAAUAGCGUAUAUUAAAGUUGUUGCAGUUAAAAAGCUCGUAGUUGAAUUUCGGGAUCAAUAUGUUGGUCGUGCCUCGGUACGUACUAGCAUAUUGGUUUCUCCUUUCUGAAGAACCAUGAUGUCAUUUAUUUGGUGUCGUGGGGAAUCAGGACUGUUACUUUGAAAAAAUUAGAGUGUUUAAAGCAGGCUCACGCUUGAAUACAUUAGCAUGGAAUAAUGAAAUAGGACGUUUGAUUCUAUUUUGUUGGUUUCUAGGAUCGACGUAAUGAUUAAUAGGGAUAGUUGGGGGCAUUAGUAUUCAAUUGUACAGAGGUGAA